This 464-nucleotide ribosomal RNA is filed under the name uncultured bacterium. RNAcentral's name for it is "partial 16S ribosomal RNA". It matches the Rfam family "Bacterial small subunit ribosomal RNA", at positions 28 to 507 of the family's 1533-position model. The record is from RNAcentral.
GACGAACGCUGGCGGCGUGCUUAACACAUGCGAGUCGAACGGAAAGGCCCUGCUUGCCGGGUACUCGAGUGGCGAACGGGUGAGUAACACGUGGGUGAUCUGCCCUGCACUUCGGGAUAAGCCUGGGAAACUGGGUCUAAUACCGGAUAGGAGCCAUUUUUAGUGUGAUGGUUGGAAAGUUUUUUCGGUGUAGGAUGAGCUCGCGGCCUAUCAGCUUGUUGGUGGGGUAAUGGCCUACCAAGGCGGCGACGGGUAGCCGGCCUGAGAGGGUGGACGGCCACAUUGGGACUGAGAUACGGCCCAGACUCCUACGGGAGGCAGCAGUGGGGAAUAUUGCACAAUGGGCGCAAGCCUGAUGCAGCGACGCCGCGUGGGGGAUGACGGCCUUCGGGUUGUAAACUCCUUUCGCUAGGGACGAAGCUUUUGUGACGGUACCUAGAGAAGAAGCACCGGCUAACUACGUG